GCGGUUUAUUAAAGGGUUUAUUAAAGGGUUAAUGACAUACCAGGAGCCAUUGCUUUUGGUCUGGGAUUAUCAACCCACUCCUGGUUUUCCAGGUUAAACUUUGUAGCAGUAAUUAGUUAUUUUAGAUUUGCUGCAGGUGUUACCGAAGUGCCCCCCAACAUGGAGAAGGAGCUAUGAUGGCCAAAAUGGAGGUAAGUAGUUCUCUGCAUAUUUACAUGAAGGAAGAUAUUAGAGAUAUUGUCAUGUCAUUUCAUAAAUCUGAGGUUAAAGGCAGUGAGUAGCUAUUUUGGCUUUAUCGAGUGUUAAUCUGUAAGUAUUUGGGUUAAACUGGAUUCAUAGUGUGUGCUAUUAUGUUAACUCACAGUUAAGGUGUGAUGUACCUGUAACCUGUAAAUCAGUAACCGUUCCAUGAUACUGUGUUUCCACUGUAGGUGGCUGUGUAUUGUGAAAGGCUAUUUAUAAAGUAAAUGGCUUCAAUGACACAGACUGCUAUAUUAUAAAGUCAGAACUUGUCAUGUUUGUUUCACAGA
Molecule: non-coding RNA, 530 nt
Organism: Pelobates cultripes (western spadefoot toad)
Lineage: Eukaryota; Metazoa; Chordata; Amphibia; Anura; Pelobatidae
Source: the annotation of a GenBank genome assembly